GCGGGAAUAGCUCAGGUGGUAGAGCGUUGGCUUCCCAAGCCAAAGGCCGCGGGUUCGAACCCCGUUUCCCGCUCCA
RNAcentral lists this transfer RNA (76 nucleotides) under Actinobacteria bacterium RBG_13_35_12. Its description in RNAcentral is "tRNA-Gly". It matches the Rfam family "tRNA". From Rfam's summary of the family: Transfer RNA (tRNA) molecules are approximately 80 nucleotides in length. Their secondary structure includes four short double-helical elements and three loops (D, anti-codon, and T loops). RNAcentral also lists the same sequence under 1 other name. Lineage: Bacteria; Bacillati; Actinomycetota. The record is from RNAcentral.